UUGCAAGGAUUUUGGUGAUAA
Molecule: non-coding RNA, 21 nt
Organism: Caenorhabditis elegans
Lineage: Eukaryota; Metazoa; Nematoda; Chromadorea; Rhabditida; Rhabditidae
Source: Ensembl